GAUGAACGCUGGCGGCGUGCCUAAUACAUGCAAGUCGAGCGAACGGACGAUAAGCUUGCUCCUCUGAUGUUAGCGGCUGACGGGUGAGUAACACGUGGAUCACCUACCUAUAAGUCUGGGAUAACUUCGUGAAACCGUAUCUAAUACCGGCUAAUAUUUUGAACCGCAUGGUUCAAAAGUGAAAGACGGUCUUGCUGUCACUUAUAGCUGGAUCCGCGCUGCAUUAGCUAGUUGGUAAGGUAACGGCUUACCAAGGCAACGAUGCAUAGCCGACCUGAGAGGGUGAUCGGCCACACUGGAACUGAGACACGGUCCAGACUCCUACGGGAGGCAGCAGUAGGGAAUAUUCCACAAUGGGCGCAAGCCUGACGGAGCAACGCCGCGUGAGUGAUGAAGGUCUUCGGAUCGUAAAACUCUGUUAUUGGGGAAGAAAAGAUGUGUAAGUAACUGUGCACAUCUUGACGGUACCUAAUCAGAAAGCAACGGCUAACUACGUG
This 497-nucleotide ribosomal RNA is filed under the name uncultured bacterium. RNAcentral describes it as "partial 16S ribosomal RNA". It matches the Rfam family "Bacterial small subunit ribosomal RNA", at positions 28 to 507 of the family's 1533-position model. The record is from RNAcentral.